RNAcentral lists this microRNA precursor (175 nucleotides) under Tetrahymena thermophila SB210. RNAcentral describes it as "Tetrahymena thermophila microRNA MIR821". The stretch from base 1 to 66 matches the Rfam family "tRNA". Lineage: Eukaryota; Ciliophora; Oligohymenophorea; Hymenostomatida; Tetrahymenidae. The record is from RNAcentral.
UAGCUCAGUUGGAAGAGCGUAAGAUUGUGGCUCUUAAGGUCGUGGGAUCGAAACCCACUAUCCACAUUUUUAUUUUGUUUUAAUAGUUUAUAAUAGAAAUUAUAAAAAAUGUGGAUGGUGGGUUUCGAUCCCACGACCUUAAGAGCCACAAUCUUACGCUCUUCCAACUGAGCUA